Molecule: ribosomal RNA, 301 nt
Filed under: uncultured bacterium
Lineage: Bacteria
Description: partial 16S ribosomal RNA
Rfam family: Bacterial small subunit ribosomal RNA
Source: RNAcentral
CAGUCGCCGCGGGAACACGUAGGUGGCAAGCGUUGUCCGGAAUUAUUGGGCGUAAAGGGCUCGCAGGCGGUUUCUUAAGUCUGAUGUGAAAGCCCCCGGCUCAACCGGGGAGGGUCAUUGGAAACUGGGAAACUUGAGUGCAGAAGAGGAGAGUGGAAUUCCACGUGUAGCGGUGAAAUGCGUAGAGAUGUGGAGGAACACCAGUGGCGAAGGCGACUCUCUGGUCUGUAACUGACGCUGAGGAGCGAAAGCGUGGGGAGCGAACAGGAUUAGAUACCCGAGUAGUCCCUGUCUCUUAUAA